Molecule: ribosomal RNA, 397 nt
Filed under: uncultured bacterium
Lineage: Bacteria
Description: partial 16S ribosomal RNA
Rfam family: Bacterial small subunit ribosomal RNA
Source: RNAcentral
AUACGUAGGUGACAAGCGUUAUCCGGAUUUACUGGGCGUAAAGGGCGUGUAGGCGGUCUUGCAAGUCAGAAGUGAAAUUCCUGAGCUCAACUCGGGCGCUGCUUCUGAAACUGCAGGACUUGAGUGCUGGAGGGGAUAGCGGAAUUCCUAGUGGAGCGGUAAAAUGCGCAGAUAUUAGGAAGAACACCGGUGGCGAAGGCGGAGAUCUGGACAGUAACUGACGCUGAGGCGCGAAAGCGGGGGGAGCAAACAGGAUUAGAUCCCCUGGUAGUCCACGCCGUAAACGAUGAAUACUAGGUGUAGGGGGUAUCGACUCCCUCUGUGCCGCAGUUAACACAAUAAGUAUUCCGCCUGGGGAGUACGGCCGCAAGGUUGAAACUUAAAGGAAUUGACGGGG